GGGGACCGAACAUGCGCGGCGCCGCUCGCCGGGAGCCGCGGGAAGCCGGAGAGAGCCGCAGAGUCCCGGGCUGGCGGUGGCUUUCUUUACAGAUUCUAUGACUCCGAAAGAUGCAAAUUCCUGCAGAGGUCUUGGCAGGACUCCACAUGCCCAAGCCAUGCAGGUUCUGACGGGCUAGGCUCUGCCAGGAAACUCAGAACCACGUCAAGCCACCAGCUGGACUUACAACUUCCUGAAGUAUUCUGAAACUCAGGGAGAAUGAAGUUGGGAGAAAAGGUCACACUGCACUGCCAGAAACUGGAGCAGUCACUGCAGGUUGGCCUAUUGCCAUUCUAGAACGUCUCUCCCCUCUGGCCCAGAGUGAAGAAUAGGCACUACAGAGGGAAGGAGCAAGAGUGGCUUAUGUUGGCAGAAAGGAGAAUUGGAAUUUUGGAGCUGGGAAUUCUUCACACCUUCUACUUCUUGAAGAGGAAACAGAGGCACAGAGAAAUUCAGAGACUUACCUAAGGUCACACAGCAGAGUCAGUAUUGAAAUCCAGACCUUUGGACUUUAAGUUCAAUAUGCUUUCACU
Molecule: long non-coding RNA, 572 nt
Organism: Pteropus alecto (black flying fox)
Lineage: Eukaryota; Metazoa; Chordata; Mammalia; Chiroptera; Pteropodidae
Exons: 4
Source: RefSeq, a predicted model, not a curated record